This 440-nucleotide ribosomal RNA is filed under the name uncultured bacterium. RNAcentral's name for it is "partial 16S ribosomal RNA". It matches the Rfam family "Bacterial small subunit ribosomal RNA", at positions 338 to 795 of the family's 1533-position model. The record is from RNAcentral.
CCUACGGGUGGCAGCAGUGGGGAAUAUUGCACAAUGGGGGAAACCCUGAUGCAGCGACGCCGCGUGAGCGAUGAAGUAUUUCGGUAUGUAAAGCUCUAUCAGCAGGGAAGAAGAUGACGGUACCUGACUAAGUAGCCCCGGCUAACUACGUGCCAGCAGCCGCGGUAAUACGUAGGGGGCAAGCGUUAUCCGGAUUUACUGGGUGUAAAGGGAGCGUAGACGGGGUUGCAAGCCAGGUGUGAAAGCCCGGGGCUCAACCCCGGGACUGCCUUUGAAACUGUGUGGCUGGAGUGUCGGAGAGGCAGGCGGAAUGCCUAGUGUAGCGGUGAAAUGCAUAGAUAUUAGGAGGAACACCAGUGGCGAAGGCGGCCUGCUGGACAAUAACUGACGUUGAAGCUCGAAAGCGUGGGGAGCGAACAGGAUUAGAUACCCCAGUAGUC